AACUUUUAUACAGUGAUACAAGUCAUUUAAGUCAAUAUUUCAGCACUGUUUUGUAACUGAAUUGUUACAAAAGAAAUCUAGUAUGUAGUAACUUUGUGUCUUUGUAUUCAUAGCGUGUGUCAAAUACGAUUGUGCACCAAGUUCCUGAGAACAGGUGUUCUGCUGCUUUUGAAAAAGAAAAUAAAUAAAGAACUGGAGGAGAAAAAAGGGACAACAGGCGACACAGAAGAUAAUUUAGAUCAUUGUGUGAACUUUCACCAGAUGAGUGACUUAAACCUGUCAUCAGCAACUGUAAUGCCCGGAGAACCAACUGUGUGAAGGGACUGCAGUGAGAAUUCAAGAGCGUCCUGUGGUCCUUCAGAUUUGUCAUUGUGAGCUGUGAAUGAGCAUUGAUUCCUUGGGGAAAGAUGUGUGAGGGAAGAGCUAAAACCAGCAACACUGCUGAAGAAAUGGCUGUAAGAGAUAUUACAGAGACCAAUGAGAUUUCUGACCAACUGGGUUGUAGUUUGUAUUUUAAGAGCCUCAUGAGAGCAAGACAAACUGGAGUUAGCCCUUCUCUUCAAUGAGUGCUUUGGCAGCUGAGCUACCAAGUAAAAACAGAGGACAUAAAGCACCUGCUCUGGUUUAGAAUAAGAGUCCUGCAUCUGAUUUACUUCUGUUCACAUAUUGGAGCUUAAUUGUAAGGACUUAGGAGUAAAAUCUCUCCAAAGGAUACACAUGGAAUUAAAUCAAGUACCUACAAACAGACGUACACAGUGAAAUGUGAGCUGCUUUCUCAGUGUGUGGGUUACUGCCUUGUUGCUAAAUGCCUUCAGCAAAAUCCCUCCCCCCCCCCUCCCCCUUUUUUUAAUUUUUUUUGGCAAAAUUUCUGUUGAAGUAGAGAAGAUGCACACCUGAAUUCCUGCUGUACCUCUGACAGACUACCCCAAAGUUAUUUUUAAGUUUAGAAAAGGAUUUUUGCUUUAAACAAUUUAGAUCCUUGCUUAUCUUAUUGGUUGGCUUUGUUUUCCGUUUUUCCUCGUUUUCUUUUCCCAGUACUAAUUCUUCCUUUUUUGAUAAUCUUGAUGCAGCCUUUACCUCUCUGUAGCAACACAGAGUUCAGUGAGGAGUCGUUAUUGUUAUGUAGAUAUAACAGUAGGGAUCCUUUUAAAAGUGCCUGUGUCAUUUCUUUAUCUACUAUUUCUAAUGCUUUUGGCAGUAAAAUUGAAUUGAUGAUCUAAGAAAGUACACACUUGUCUAGCAUUUAUGCCCCUCCUUAAAGUUAGCUACUGCUUGGAGAAGUGAUGGGAGAGAAGAUAAAACAGAUGUAACCCUACUGCAAAGUUAUGAUACUGAGAGGAAUGGUUGUUAACUGUAUCAAAAAUAAAAACAUGAGGGAAGUCUAGGAAGGGAAAGCC
RNAcentral lists this long non-coding RNA (1397 nucleotides) under Coturnix japonica (Japanese quail). RNAcentral's name for it is "lncRNA (ENSCJPG00005015391.1)". The record is from RNAcentral. Lineage: Eukaryota; Metazoa; Chordata; Aves; Galliformes; Phasianidae.